UCUGUACGAAGAAUGGUUGUU
This 21-nucleotide non-coding RNA is filed under the name Caenorhabditis elegans. Lineage: Eukaryota; Metazoa; Nematoda; Chromadorea; Rhabditida; Rhabditidae. The record is from RNAcentral.